AUGGAUGAUGCAUUGCUUGAAGUCUUAGUUGAGCAUCACAACAAGGGUGACCAUGCCCAAAAUGGAUGGAAACCACAUGUGUACACGCAUGCCAUAAGGAAUGUGAAGGACAAGUGCAAUAAGGAUAUCACAAAGGAUAACAUAAGUGGAAGGAUGAGCACUUUGGAUCAUCACUAUGAGGUUGUUAGCAAAAUCCUUUCUCAAAGUGGUUCCGGCUGGGAUUGGACCAAUAAUAGGCUAUCAAUGGAUAGUGAUGAUGUUUGGGCUAAAUAUGUGGAGGCUAACAAGGCAAGCAAGGAGAUAAAGUCUUACAAGACCAAAGUAAUCAAGAACUGGGAGUCCAUAUGUAUCGUAUAUUCAAAAGAUCAUGCUAAUGGCGAGGGUGCGAAGGCAGGUGCUGAGAUUGCUGCAGAGCCAUUAGAAGAACCAAUUGAAGUCUCUCCAGAAGUAGUGCCAAAGAGGCAGCAAACAGGUGAUGCUAUUCUUUGCAUGCUUGGAGAUAUGAAGAAGGACUUAGUUGAUGCUUUCAAGACAACUGAGCCCAUUCCCCUACCAAAGGUUACCACACCCGCUGGAAUACUUGAUGCACUUAGGUUG
This 597-nucleotide ribosomal RNA is filed under the name Triticum aestivum (bread wheat). RNAcentral's name for it is "partial small subunit ribosomal RNA". The record is from RNAcentral. Lineage: Eukaryota; Viridiplantae; Streptophyta; Magnoliopsida; Poales; Poaceae.